UACGAAGGGUGCAAACGUUGCUCGGAAUCAUUGGGCGUAAAGCGCACGUAGGCGGCUUCGCAAGUCGGAUGUGAAAUCCCUCGGCUCAACCGAGGACGUGCAUACGAAACUGCGGAGCUUGAGUGCUGAAGAGGAUCGCGGAAUUCCCGGUGUAGAGGUGAAAUUCGUAGAUAUCGGGAGGAACACCAGUGGCGAAGGCGGCGGUCUGGGCAGACACUGACGCUGAGGUGCGAAAGCGUGGGGAGCAAACAGG
Molecule: ribosomal RNA, 253 nt
Filed under: uncultured bacterium
Lineage: Bacteria
Description: partial 16S ribosomal RNA
Rfam family: Bacterial small subunit ribosomal RNA
Source: RNAcentral